This is a non-coding RNA of 156 nucleotides. It matches the Rfam family "6S / SsrS RNA". Rfam says of the family: E. coli 6S RNA was the first non coding RNA to be sequenced, but its function was unknown until recently. It consists of 184 nucleotides that fold into an extended hairpin structure with a large single-stranded internal bulge. The 6S RNA specifically associates with RNA polymerase holoenzyme containing the sigma70 specificity factor. The record is from Rfam.
GCGGGGCUGCCUGGUGCGUGCGAGUUAUGUAUUCCCGGGCCCAUACGACUCCCUAGGGAGCUGUCCCUGACCGGGUCCCUGGACCCGGACACACGGCGCCCACCUACUUUGUAGGUGUCCCGGGAUCGAAAUCUCCACGGCCAAGGUGGCUCCGCA